RNAcentral lists this long non-coding RNA (355 nucleotides) under Hordeum vulgare. RNAcentral's name for it is "long non-coding RNA (HVUL_LNC020377)". Lineage: Eukaryota; Viridiplantae; Streptophyta; Magnoliopsida; Poales; Poaceae. The record is from RNAcentral.
UUAUAUUCCUUUCGUCCUUGUAAUUCUUUCCUGUGUUGGAAAUUCUUAUCUGGUAUUCUGUUGUCAUUUAUCUCUAUUCUUCCGGCGCGUUGAAGAUAUCCCAGUAGUUUCUUGGUCUCAGAUCUUUCUUUAUUUCGAGGUGCCAACCUCAUCUAGUUCUCGUUCUACCGGUGCAAUAUCUUUCCUUAUAAUCAGUUGUUUCAACGGUGGUUUCUUUGAGUGGGCCCAUAACCCACAGGUUCUUUCCCAGGAUCUUACCUGGCUUUUGUAAUCAUCUCCGGAGAUCAUUAAUUCUUUUCAACUAUGACGUAAGUAUGUUUUUCAUCAGUCAUAUCCCUUCUCCAAGAUCUAUUGG